CAAUAGCGUAUAUUAACGUUGUUGCAGUUAAAAAGCUCGUAGUUGGAUUUCUGGUGUGAUGCGCCUGGUCCGCCGGGGUUACCCGUGUGAGAGCCGGUUGCGCGUCCGCCAUCCUUCUGGAGAGCGUGGCUACUCUUCACUGAGCUGGUUACGCAAUCUGGAUCGUUUACUUUGAAAAAAUUAGAGUGUUCAAAGCAGGCUUGCGCUGUGAAUACAUUAGCAUGGAAUAAUAAGAUAGGACUUUGGUUCUAUUUUGUUGGUUUCUAGGACCGAACGUAAUGAUUGAUAGGGACAGUUGGGGGUGCUCGUAUUCAACGGCCAGAGGUGAAAUUCUUGGAUUCGUUGAAGACGAACUUAUGCGAAAGCAUUCACCAAGGAUGUCUUCUUUAAUCAAGAACGAAAGUUGGGGGAUCGAAGACGAUUAGAUACCAU
Molecule: ribosomal RNA, 432 nt
Filed under: uncultured eukaryote
Lineage: Eukaryota
Description: bacterial SSU rRNA
Rfam family: Eukaryotic small subunit ribosomal RNA
Source: RNAcentral